This 387-nucleotide ribosomal RNA is filed under the name uncultured bacterium. RNAcentral describes it as "bacterial SSU rRNA". It matches the Rfam family "Bacterial small subunit ribosomal RNA", at positions 30 to 418 of the family's 1533-position model. The record is from RNAcentral.
AUUGAACGCUGGCGGCAUGCCUUACACAUGCAAGUCGAACGGCAGCGGGCCUUCGGGUGCCGGCGAGUGGCGAACGGGUGAGUAAUGCAUCGGAACGUGCCAUUGAGUGGGGGAUAACGUAGCGAAAGUUACGCUAAUACCGCAUAUUCUGUGAGCAGGAAAGCAGGGGGACCGCAAGGCCUUGCGCUCUUUGAGCGGCCGAUGUCAGAUUAGCUAGUUGGUGAGGUAAAGGCUUACCAAGGCGACGAUCUGUAGCGGGUCUGAGAGGAUGAUCCGCCACACUGGAACUGAGACACGGUCCAGACUCCUACGGGAGGCAGCAGUGGGGAAUUUUGGACAAUGGGCGCAAGCCUGAUCCAGCCAUGCCGCGUGAGUGAAGAAGGCCUC